Molecule: ribosomal RNA, 506 nt
Filed under: uncultured bacterium
Lineage: Bacteria
Description: partial 16S ribosomal RNA
Rfam family: Bacterial small subunit ribosomal RNA
Source: RNAcentral
AGUGAACGCUGGCGGUAGGCCUAACACAUGCAAGUCGAACGGCAGCACAGGAGAGCUUGCUCUCUGGGUGGCGAGUGGCGGACGGGUGAGGAAUACAUCGGAAUCUACUUUUUCGUGGGGGAUAACGUAGGGAAACUUACGCUAAUACCGCAUACGACCUACGGGUGAAAGCAGGGGACCUUCGGGCCUUGCGCGAUUGAAUGAGCCGAUGUCGGAUUAGCUAGUUGGCGGGGUAAAGGCCCACCAAGGCGACGAUCCGUAGCUGGUCUGGGGGGAUGAUCAGCCACACUGGAACGGAGAAACGGUCGAGACUCCUACGGGGGGCAGCAGUGGGGAAUAUUGGACAAUGGGCGAAAGCCUGAUCCAGCCAUACCGCGUGGGUGAAGAAGGCCUUCGGGUUGUAAAGCCCUUUUGUUGGGAAAGAAAUCCAGCUGGCUAAUACCCGGUUGGGAUGACGGUACCCAAAGAAUAAGCACCGGCUAACUUCGUGCCAGCCGCCGCCGUAA